RNAcentral lists this transfer RNA (65 nucleotides) under Heterocephalus glaber (naked mole-rat). It matches the Rfam family "tRNA". Rfam says of the family: Transfer RNA (tRNA) molecules are approximately 80 nucleotides in length. Their secondary structure includes four short double-helical elements and three loops (D, anti-codon, and T loops). The record is from Rfam by way of RNAcentral. Lineage: Eukaryota; Metazoa; Chordata; Mammalia; Rodentia; Bathyergidae.
AGUGUAGUUCAGUGGUAGAGCCCUUGCCUAGCAUGCACAAGGCCCUGGGUUCCAUCCCCAGCACU